AAGGCUGCUAUUGUAAAUUCCUUUCGCUCUUCAGUGUUAGCUUCAUUGUUAGCCUGGUGGAAGACAGCAGCCAUUUUUAGCUGAAAUAAAACAAUCUCAUGAUUUUAGCUCGACAAAUCAUUACAACUCUGUUGCAUCGCUGUUGCAUGUGUAACCAUGCAAGGGCAGCUUUGUACUUAAGUGGUGCGUCUUUAGUGCAACUGCAAUAAAGAUAAUCUUGUCUGAAGCAAGCUUGCUGUCUUCAAGCAGUAGGGAGUCUCGCAGGGGCCUCCCUACUGAAAAAACCCAUGUAAACUCUGUAUGAGGAUAGAAAACUGGGUGAGUUGAUAUUAGCUCACGGCUAAUAACAGCAAUGCGCUGAAAACAAAGAUGAAGGAAGGCUUGGAUACAACACAAGCGCUGUAGAGUGCGCAUUAACUUGCUACUUUGUAUACCCUCGUUACUUAUACCUUCGUGCUACUUAUACUGUCGUUGUAUAGGGAUACAGACUUUUUUCAUAACCUUUAUGAGAUUCACAGAGAAUGAUGUAUUAAGUUAUGCAACAAUAUUAACAAAGUAGGCGGAAUGCAAUUGAAACACACACAAAAAGGCCCGAUGAAGUGCCGAAACAGUGCGGCUGAGUGCUAGUCCCCCGUUAAAUGACAGUAUGAGCUUCUUUCAAGUAAAUAAAAACGUUCUGCGCAUUUCA
Long non-coding RNA from Dermacentor silvarum, 688 nucleotides. RefSeq lists it as uncharacterized. Lineage: Eukaryota; Metazoa; Arthropoda; Arachnida; Ixodida; Ixodidae. The record is from RefSeq and is a predicted model, not a curated record. The transcript is spliced from 2 exons.